This 62-nucleotide transfer RNA is filed under the name Ornithodoros erraticus. RNAcentral describes it as "tRNA-Ser". Lineage: Eukaryota; Metazoa; Arthropoda; Arachnida; Ixodida; Argasidae. The record is from RNAcentral.
GACAUUUUAACUAUAUAAAGUAUAUAUUUUGAAAAUAUAAAAAAGGUCCUACCUAAAUGUCU